RNAcentral lists this ribosomal RNA (550 nucleotides) under Candida albicans. RNAcentral's name for it is "LSU rRNA". It matches the Rfam family "Eukaryotic large subunit ribosomal RNA", at positions 47 to 573 of the family's 3401-position model. The record is from RNAcentral. Lineage: Eukaryota; Fungi; Ascomycota; Pichiomycetes; Serinales; Debaryomycetaceae.
UAAGCGGAGGAAAAGAAACCAACAGGGAUUGCCUCAGUAGCGGCGAGUGAAGCGGCAAAAGCUCAAAUUUGAAAUCUGGCGUCUUUGGCGUCCGAGUUGUAAUUUGAAGAAGGUAUCUUUGGGCCCGGCUCUUGUCUAUGUUCCUUGGAACAGGACGUCACAGAGGGUGAGAAUCCCGUGCGAUGAGAUGACCCGGGUCUGUGUAAAGUUCCUUCGACGAGUCGAGUUGUUUGGGAAUGCAGCUCUAAGUGGGUGGUAAAUUCCAUCUAAAGCUAAAUAUUGGCGAGAGACCGAUAGCGAACAAGUACAGUGAUGGAAAGAUGAAAAGAACUUUGAAAAGAGAGUGAAAAAGUACGUGAAAUUGUUGAAAGGGAAGGGCUUGAGAUCAGACUUGGUAUUUUGCAUGUUGCUCUCUCGGGGGCGGCCGCUGCGGUUUACCGGGCCAGCAUCGGUUUGGAGCGGCAGGAUAAUGGCGGAGGAAUGUGGCACGGCUUCUGCUGUGUGUUAUAGCCUCUGACGAUACUGCCAGCCUAGACCGAGGACUGCGGUU